Molecule: ribosomal RNA, 498 nt
Filed under: uncultured bacterium
Lineage: Bacteria
Description: partial 16S ribosomal RNA
Rfam family: Bacterial small subunit ribosomal RNA
Source: RNAcentral
AACGAACGCUGGCGGCGUGCCUAACACAUGCAAGUCGAGCGGAGUCAGUAAGAAGAAGUUUUCGGAUGGAAUCUUAUUGAUUUAGCGGCGGACGGGUGAGUAACGCGUGAGCGACCAACCUUGCACAGGGGGAUAACGGACCGAAAGGUUCACUAAUACCGCAUAAGACCACGGUGUUGCAUGACACAGAGGUCAAAGGAGCAAUCCGGUGCAAGACGGGCUCGCGUCCGAUUAGGUAGUUGGAGGGGUAACGGCCCACCAAGCCUACGAUCGGUAGCCGACCUGAGAGGGUGAUCGGCCACAUUGGAACUGAGAUACGGUCCAAACUCCUACGGGAGGCAGCAGUGGGGAAUAUUGGGCAAUGGGGGAAACCCUGACCCAGCAACGCCGCGUGAAGGAAGAAGGUUUUCGGAUUGUAAACUUCUGUCCUUGGUGAAGAGAAGAAGACGGUAGCCAAGGAGGAAACCCCGGCUAACUACGUGCCAGCCGCCGCCGUAA